CCUACGGGAGGCUGCAGUGAGGAAUAUUGGUCAAUGGGCUUACGCCUGAACCAGCCAAGUCGCGUGAGGGAAGACUGCCCUAUGGGUUGUAAACCUCUUUUGUCAGGGAGCAACGCCGGCUACGUGUAGCCGGACUGAGAGUACCUGAAGAAAAAGCAUCGGCGAACUCCGUGCCAGCAGCCGCGGUAAUACGGAGGAUGCGAGCGUUCUCCGGAUUUAUUGGGUUUAAAGGGUGCGUAGGCGGAAUGCCAAGUCAGCGGUAAAAUCGCGGGGCUCAACCUCGCGCCGCCGUUGAAACUGGCGUUCUUGAGUGGGCGAGAAGUAUGCGGAAUGCGUGGUGUAGCGGUGAAAUGCAUAGAUAUCACGCAGAACUCCGAUUGCGAAGGCAGCAUACCGGCGCCCAACUGACGCUGAAGCACGAAAGCGUGGGGAUCGAACAGGAUUAGAUACCCUGGUAGUC
This 460-nucleotide ribosomal RNA is filed under the name uncultured bacterium. RNAcentral's name for it is "partial 16S ribosomal RNA". It matches the Rfam family "Bacterial small subunit ribosomal RNA", at positions 338 to 795 of the family's 1533-position model. The record is from RNAcentral.